Molecule: ribosomal RNA, 255 nt
Filed under: uncultured bacterium
Lineage: Bacteria
Description: partial 16S ribosomal RNA
Rfam family: Bacterial small subunit ribosomal RNA
Source: RNAcentral
UACGUAGGGGGCAAGCGUUUGUCCGGAAUCAUUGGGCGUAAAGCGCGUGUAGGCGGCUGGGUAAGUCCGCUCUGAAAGUCCGGGGGCUCAACCCCGGGAGGCGGGCGGAUACUGUCGGGCUAGAGUCCGGAAGAGGCGAGUGGAAUUCCUGGUGUAGCGGUGAAAUGCGCAGAUAUCAGGAGGAACACCGGUGGCGAAGGCGGUUCUCUGGGCAUGUCCUGACGCUGAGGAGCGAAAGUGUGGGGAGCGAACAGG